AACGAACGCUGGCGGCAUGCCUAACACAUGCAAGUCGAACGAGACCUUCGGGUCUAGUGGCGCACGGGUGCGUAACGCGUGGGAACCUGCCCUUAGGUUCGGAAUAACUCCCCGAAAGGGGUGCUAAUACCGGAUAAUGUCUUCGGACCAAAGAUUUAUCGCCUUUGGAUGGGCCCGCGUUGGAUUAGCUAGUUGGUAGGGUAAAAGCCUACCAAGGCGACGAUCCAUAGCUGGUCUGAGAGGAUGAUCAGCCACACUGGGACUGAGACACGGCCCAGACUCCUACGGGAGGCAGCAGUGGGGAAUAUUGGACAAGGGGCGAAAGCCGGAUCCAGCAAUGCCGCGUGAGUGAUGAAGGCCUUAGGGUUGUAAAGCUCUUUUACCCGGGAUGAUAAUGACAGUACCGGGAGAAUAAGCUCCGGCUAACUCCGUGC
Molecule: ribosomal RNA, 434 nt
Filed under: uncultured bacterium
Lineage: Bacteria
Description: partial 16S ribosomal RNA
Rfam family: Bacterial small subunit ribosomal RNA
Source: RNAcentral